CCGCGGGAUUAGAGUUUGAUCAUGGCUCAGAUUGAACGCUGGCGGCAGGCUUAACACAUGCAAGUCGAGCGGUAACAGAAAUAGCUUGCUAUUUGCUGACGAGCGGCGGACGGGUGAGUAAUGCUUGGGAAUAUGCCUUAUGGUGGGGGACAACAGUUGGAAACGACUGCUAAUACCGCAUAAUGUCUACGGACCAAAGGGGGGGAUCUUCGGACCUCUCGCCAGUUGAUUAGCCCAAGUGAGAUUAGCUAGUUGGUAAGGUAAUGGCUUACCAAGGCGACGAUCUCUAGCUGGUUUGAGAGGAUGAUCAGCCACACUGGGACUGAGACACGGCCCAGACUCCUACGGGAGGCAGCAGUGGGGAAUAUUGCACAAUGGGGGGAACCCUGAUGCAGCCAUGCCGCGUGUGUGAAGAAGGCCUUCGGGUUGUAAAGCACUUUCAGUUGUGAGGAAAGGUGUGUAGUUAAUAGCUGCAUACUGUGACGUUAACAACAGAAGAAGCACCGGCUAACUUCGUGCCAGCAGCCGCGGUAAUACGAGGGGUGCAAGCGUUAAUCGGAAUUACUGGGCGUAAAGCGUUCGUAGGCGGUUGAAUAAGCAAGAUGUGAAAGCCCAGGGCUCAACCUUGGAACUGCAUUUUGAACUGUUCGACUAGAGUACUGUAGAGGGGGGUAGAAUUUCA
Molecule: ribosomal RNA, 682 nt
Filed under: uncultured Vibrionaceae bacterium
Lineage: Bacteria; Pseudomonadati; Pseudomonadota; Gammaproteobacteria; Vibrionales; Vibrionaceae
Description: bacterial SSU rRNA
Rfam family: Bacterial small subunit ribosomal RNA
Source: RNAcentral